CGCGCCGCCAGCGCCGUACCUCCGUCCACGCUGUCUGCCCGUGCCGCCCCUCCGUCUACGCCGCCCGUCAGCGUCCUCCAAUCGUCGGCGACACCUCCAUCCGCGCCGCUUGCGCCUCUAACUUCCUCCAUCGCAGGUCGGUACUGCGUGGAUCAACUGAACUGCUUAUAUCUUCUGAAUACUUGGUGCGUGGGAAGUGCUUAGUAGCCACUGCAUCUUUGAACCAAUUGGCACUGAUUUGUCUUGUGAUUGGUGAUAUGAAAGGAUACAAAUUGUGAAUCAUAAAACCCACCAGGUAGAUACAUAAGAGAACUUAGUAAAUCCUUACAUUGCCAAAAAUAAUUCCUACCUUACUAGCUACCAGUACUCUGCCAUUCAGAACAUUUGGGACAUUCAGAACAUAGAGUGCAAAGUGUAGCAGCCAAAAUAAUUCCUACCUUACUAGCUACCAGGACUCCACCAUUCAGAAUGUGUCAACAUCUAUGUCAUUAACAAUAGGAGCUGUCAACAGAUUGGUGAAACUUUCCAUGAACUCAUAUUUUGCAGUGCUUGCUUCCUUCGGUUUUGGUAUUGGUUUGGUCUUUUUUGCAGAUUUUUUUGAGACAACCUUCUUUACUGAACUAGUCUGUGAUGGUAUGUUCUCCUUUUCUCCCUGCUGGCUGAUGGGACAAUCUUCUCUUUCUUUUUUCGCUGUGGUCGCAGAUGGUGUUUUCCUCCUCCUCUUGUGUUGCCUCUCAAGGAAACCUAAUUUUCUUUUAGAGCCUUUCUUCUCAACCUCUUUUUUCUUCAGACGUGCAGCACUCAACAAUUCAUUUGAUGUUUGAGUCACUUGUGUACCACUCAAUGAUUCAUUUGAUGAUUGAGCCACCUGGACAUGGCAUCUGUCUUCAACAUUAGUUGUGCGUGCACUCAAUAGUUCCUUCACUUGCUUAGUAGCACUAAUAAGUGCAUUCUCGAUGACAAUACAAUAUUCUUUAGAGUUGGCUGCUAGAGUUGCCAACUCACAACACAUGUGUAUAAGAAAAUUGUAUCGGGUGAUGGCAUCCAACUUUGGAUUUUCAACUACAGUCCGUCCACAACAAUCUUUGAUGGAUCUUGACCGUGCUUCUCUUGUCCAUCGCUUCAAAAUGUAGUGUGCCGGCAACAACUUGAUAUUCAUUAAAUCAAGAACUUUCAAAGCAUGAGCACACAAAAUUCCUACUCUCUCAAACUGCCCACAACUACAUGAAGCCGUUUGUUGGUGAUUGUCUCCAACAACUUUGUAUUCUUCUUCAAAUGUUGCAUAUUGCCCAUCAAUAAGCCUUCCAAUCUUAACCAUGUAUUCAUUGUCUCCAGGUAGUAUAUGAGCACUUGCUGCCAUUGACCUCCCAUAUUCUAUUUGAAAAGCUUCAAAUAUAGCAGGAGUAUAAAGACUACUGACUUGUUGCAACAUUGGUGUGGGGAUUUUGAUUCUAGGUAGACUCUUCCUAGACUCGUACUCUGAAUUUAUCUCAGUGUCUCUUUUCACUUUCAUGGCUCUUUCAAAAUGAUGAAAAAGCGGUUGAUAUCUAAAUCUGACUUGAGAUGAUUCUUGAGGUCAUUGUUCAAACUUUCACUCAGUUGUGUGCUUCGCAUUCCCAAAGUGAAAGCAUCUCUCAUAAAACAUUCUGCCCACUUCUCCUUUACCUUAUAAAUACUAUCCAUCCAAGUUUGCUUUUUCACCUUGCUUCUCAUAACAUUAAAAGCAUCUUCAAAUGUUUCUCGGUCUUCGUAUUCAAACAUACAAGCACUGAAAUCUUUGAGAAGAGAUGAUUCAUUUUCCUCAUUAUCUCCCUCAUCCGCAUCGUCUUCGUUGUCUUCACUAUUCUCUUUGCUGGGUAGGUGCUUGAUAGCAUUUUGCAUAAUGUGCAAAGUGCACAGCCCAUGUAUUGAUUCUGAAAAAACAUGCCCAAUUGCCUUCCCCAUAGCACUAUCUUGGUCAGUAAAUAUGGUGCGUGGCUGCUUCUGGUUAUGUAUCGACAAGAAGGCAUGAAAUAGCCAUUUGAAAGAUUCGAAUGUCUCGUCAUAGAGAAGUGAAGCACCAAAUACUACUGUUUCUCUGAAUUGAUUGAAUCCAACAAACACACCAAAUGGCCUGUACUCUUUAUUUGUCCCAAAAGUAGUGUCAAAGGUCAUAACAUCACCAAAAUGAGCAUAAUCUAUGAUCAUUUUGGCAUCAGCCCAGAAUAUAUUUGUUAUUUGUUCCUCACUGUCCAACUGUACACAAAUUGAAAGGAAGGAUUCUCAAUGGCUUUGUCUUGAAAAUACUUCAACAUACGUCCAGCCUCACCAUACUUCAAUUCUCUUUGGCGCUUUGUUCGCAAGUGGUUCUUGUGAUCUACGCGUGUAUAAGUUAAACCAGCUGAACCACCAACACGUCGACUAGCAAAUUCAUGAGCAUUUUUUGGUGCAAUACCAGAGUCAUCAGCUAUUUCAAUUUCAAAAGCUUGCACUUUAGAGAUCCUUCUUUGUGAUGGCAACAAGUGGCAUGCUUCUGGCAGCUGAAGCAUGUGAUUAUGUUCAAGACAAAGAUCAUAUAUUUCAUAAUUUCCGACUUCACGGUCUAUUGUAAGAGACAUACGGACCUCACAAUCAGUUCUAAUUUCAGCUCGGCCUGUCUUAGUUAGGUUAUCUCUUUUAUCUGCAGACUUCUUCCCCUCUUUGAAACAUACAUAUCUGCAUGAAGUCACUACACCAUCAAAUUUACUCCGAGUUGUAAACCUCUUUCUAACACUGAAUCCCAUUCUUCCUCCAUAGUACCUCCAAAAGUCCCAUGCCUCAUCCAAAUUAUCGAAUUUCAUGCCAAGUUGAGGUUUCCAGCUAGGUGUGACAUUUGCCCUAUAAAAUAAACAAGUAAAGAUUAUUCUAACUAAUCCAUACAAAAGAAAGAGGAGAGGUGCAGAUUUGUUUCAUGAUAUACUUGCUACAUAGUGACACCAACAAGAACUGGUUUAACAUGUGCAACUCCUACUGAAAAGAUCCAUAAAAAGCAAAACUUACUUGUUUGGAUCUUGAUUCUCCAUUGAUCAGCCUCUAAAUUCUGACUUUGAUGUUGUAUUUGAUUAGGCCAGGUGCUUGUUGUCCUGAUACUCCAAAAGAGAAGAGGAAAAGAGCAUUUUGGAUGUGCUGAUGCUCCAAAAGAGAAGAGGAGAAAAGCAGUAUUGCUGUGCUGGGAGUGGCAGAUGCUCCAAAAGAGAAGAGGAAAAGAGAAAAAGUGAGGUGCAGUACAAACAGUGGAGGGGAAAGUGGAGAAGAAGUGGAGGGAAGCAACUCACGGGUGUGGUUUUGGCGCCAAGCUGGGUGACUUUUCCCUCCAAAAGAGAAGAAAGAGAAAGAGCAGGUCACGUGCAUGAGAAGGGAGAGGUGUUGUGUGUCCGUUUCCUGAAGGGAUGUCUAGCCCUGACUCCGCUCUGUAAUGUUAGAGGAUCCGGCUCCGUAAACACGUACGGUCAUUGCCAGGUGGAACCAUCGUAGGUGAAACCUGAUCUCAUUUCCACUCAAUUUUCAGAACAGAGAAUAAGCAGUCACCUGCUCUCAGCGUCUCAGAGCUUCUUAUCCGAGCACAGAGGUGUCUUCUAGAGGACAUGAAUUGAAAUGGUAAUCACAAAAGAGCAUGCGUUCAGAAACCAAAUAUAAAAGGUCAAACGAAAUACUCACACAGUACGAUUCAUGAUCAGCAGUAUCAAAAAGGGUUCAAGAAAGGAGCGUUUGCUUGAGACAGGGGCCCACUAGCUGGACACGAGAGCCCUACUGUUACUAGUAGAGAUAGAGAUUAAG
This 3795-nucleotide long non-coding RNA is filed under the name Triticum aestivum (bread wheat). RNAcentral's name for it is "long non-coding RNA (TAES_LNC021589)". The record is from RNAcentral. Lineage: Eukaryota; Viridiplantae; Streptophyta; Magnoliopsida; Poales; Poaceae.